GACGAACCGAGCGACCGUUAUUCGGAAUCACUGGGCUUAAAGGGCGCGUAGGCGGGCGGCCAAGUCAGGGGUGAAAGCCCCCAGCUCAACUGGGGAAGUGCCUUUGAUACUGGCCAUCUCGAGGGAGGUAGGGGCGUGCGGAACUUCCGGUGGAGCGGUGAAAUGCGUAGAUAUCGGAAGGAACACCGGUGGCGAAAGCGGCGCGCUGGACCUCUUCUGACGCUGAGGCGCGAAAGCCAGGGGAGCAAACGGG
Molecule: ribosomal RNA, 253 nt
Filed under: uncultured bacterium
Lineage: Bacteria
Description: partial 16S ribosomal RNA
Rfam family: Bacterial small subunit ribosomal RNA
Source: RNAcentral